AAGUCUGAAACUGCCCUGAAGACCACACUGUCUCUUGACUUCAACGAUGAGAUCCUCAGUUGAUUCGGGCGCUCCAUUAGAGAGUGAGCCUUCGACAGGUUCCGUCAGCCAAGACAGUCUUUAGGACCAUAGGACUCUAACUAGUGAUGGGUCCUGCAACACUAGCGCACCGACGCAUGUAUCAAGCUCACCUAGCGAUGCCUGUAUCGGUGCGUGCGUCGCUUUAAGAAAAAG
Long non-coding RNA from Oreochromis niloticus (Nile tilapia), 234 nucleotides. RefSeq lists it as uncharacterized. The transcript has 3 exons. The record is from RefSeq and is a predicted model, not a curated record. Lineage: Eukaryota; Metazoa; Chordata; Actinopteri; Cichliformes; Cichlidae.